RNAcentral lists this microRNA precursor (86 nucleotides) under Nasonia vitripennis (jewel wasp). Its description in RNAcentral is "microRNA nvi-mir-8 precursor". Its record names the gene nvi-mir-8. The stretch from base 10 to 78 matches the Rfam family "mir-8/mir-141/mir-200 microRNA precursor family". From Rfam's summary of the family: The bounds of the precursors are predicted based on conservation and base pairing and are not generally known. RNAcentral also lists the same sequence under 1 other name. The record is from miRBase by way of RNAcentral. Lineage: Eukaryota; Metazoa; Arthropoda; Insecta; Hymenoptera; Pteromalidae.
GGAGUAUCUGUUUACAUCUUACCGGGCAGCAUUAGAUUACAUUUGAAUUUUCUAAUACUGUCAGGUAAAGAUGUCGUCAGGAUUCC